Mogibacterium sp. CM50 is the source of this 80-nucleotide non-coding RNA. The record is from Rfam. NCBI's taxonomy places the organism in Bacteria, Bacillati, Bacillota, Clostridia, Peptostreptococcales, Anaerovoracaceae.
CGCAGUAGUAACGAACCAUGAGAAGUCAGCCAAGGCCAUAGUAGUGACGAAACUCCUGUAAUGGGAGCGGAGCGAAGGGC